UUGUAAAAGGUGUUGAGAUUGUCUUGAAUGCUGCAAGUUUGGGUAGAUUGCUUCAAAUGCCUUGUGAGAGAAGCUGUCUUGAUGAGCUUUCUAGGAAAGAGGAUGGACUUAAAUCCAUCCUAGGAAGAAAUAAUGUUGUAGGUUUCAUGAAGAUAGAGGCAAAAGAUUUGAGUGUGGAGAUGAGACUACUCCACCACAUGAUCUCUAGGAUCUUCUUCCCCAAAGGGAGAAGAUAUGACCUGAUGA
RNAcentral lists this long non-coding RNA (246 nucleotides) under Elaeis guineensis (African oil palm). RNAcentral's name for it is "long non-coding RNA (EGUI_LNC046233)". Lineage: Eukaryota; Viridiplantae; Streptophyta; Magnoliopsida; Arecales; Arecaceae. The record is from RNAcentral.